Molecule: ribosomal RNA, 468 nt
Filed under: uncultured bacterium
Lineage: Bacteria
Description: partial 16S ribosomal RNA
Rfam family: Bacterial small subunit ribosomal RNA
Source: RNAcentral
GACGAACGCUGGCGGCGUGCUUAACACAUGCAAGUCGAACGGAAAGGCCCUGCUUUUGUGGGGUGCUCGAGUGGCGAACGGGUGAGUAACACGUGAGUAACCUGCCCUUGACUUUGGGAUAACUUCAGGAAACUGGGGCUAAUACCGGAUAGGAGCUCCUGCUGCAUGGUGGGGGUUGGAAAGUUUCGGCGGUUGGGGAUGGACUGGCGGCUUAUCAGCUUGUUGGUGGGGUAGUGGCUUACCAAGGCUUUGACGGGUAGCCGGCCUGGGAGGGUGACCGGGCACAAUGGGACUGAGAUACGGCGCAGACUCCUACGGGAGGCAGCAGUGGGGAAUAUUGCACAAUGGGCGGAAGCGUGAGGCAGCAGCGCCGCGUGCGGGAUGACGGCUUUCGGGUUGUAAACCGCUUUCGCCUGUGACGAAGCGGGAGUGACGGUAAUGGGUAAAGGAGCACCGGCUAACUACGUG